Molecule: ribosomal RNA, 195 nt
Filed under: uncultured bacterium
Lineage: Bacteria
Description: partial 16S ribosomal RNA
Rfam family: Bacterial small subunit ribosomal RNA
Source: RNAcentral
UACGGGAGGCAGCAGUGAGGAAUUUUGCGCAAUGGGGGAAACCCUGACGCAGCAACGCCGCGUGAGUGAUGAAGGCUUUCGGGUCGUAAAACUCUGUCAAGUGGGAAGAAACUGCCGCGGGCUAAUACCGCGCGGUACUGACGGUACCACUGAAGGAAGCACCGGCUAACUCCGUGCCAGCAGCCGCGGUAAUAA